Molecule: ribosomal RNA, 563 nt
Filed under: uncultured bacterium
Lineage: Bacteria
Description: bacterial SSU rRNA
Rfam family: Bacterial small subunit ribosomal RNA
Source: RNAcentral
GUCAAUGGGCGGAAGCCUGAACCAGCCAAGUAGCGUGCAGGAUGACGGCCCUACGGGUUGUAAACUGCUUUUAUGCGGGGAUAAAGUUGCCCACGUGUGGGUUUUUGCAGGUACCGCAUGAAUAAGGACCGGCUAAUUCCGUGCCAGCAGCCGCGGUAAUACGGAAGGUCCGGGCGUUAUCCGGAUUUAUUGGGUUUAAAGGGAGCGCAGGCCGCCGUGCAAGCGUGUCGUGAAAAGCAGCGGCCCAACCGCUGCCCUGCGGCGCGAACUGCUUGGCUUGAGUGCGCCGGAAGCGGGCGGAAUUCGUGGUGUAGCGGUGAAAUGCUUAGAUAUCACGAAGAACCCCGAUUGCGAAGGCAGCCCGCUGUGGCGCCACUGACGCUGAGGCUCGAAGGUGCGGGUAUCGAACAGGAUUAGAUACCCUGGUAGUCCGCACGGUAAACGAUGGAUACCCGCUGUCCGGCCCGUAUGGUCUGGGCGGCCAAGCGAAAGCGUUAAGUAUCCCACCUGGGGAGUACGCCGGCAACGGUGAAACUCAAAGGAAUUGAGGGGGCCCGCACAAG